UUUCUGCUCAUCUAGCUGUGAUCAUUCUUGUGUCUGUGUUCAGCUGCUGGUUGGCUAGGCAGCUCUGUUAGUCAGCUUAGGGCUGGGGCAGUGAGGGAACUCGGCCAUAUAUCUGUCAUCGUCCAGCAGAUCAGCCCAGGCUCUUUCACACAGGGGUUGGUAGGAGGAUUCCAAAAGCAGCAAGUUAAGACAAGCUCCCACAGAGGCAAGGACAUGUGCUGGAUGUGUAUGCAGUCUUUGAAGCUGGAGAGGCCUGUGUUGGAAACUGUGCUCUGUCCCAUGCCAGUUCCCUGACCUUGGGGGACGACCCAGACCAUCAUUCUUCUCUGGUCUGCCACCUUCAUCCUCCACUUGCAGCCUCCUUUGCAGUGACCAUACAGGUCUGAAAUCCAGGUCACAGAGCCCUAACAUAACUACAAAGGAUCCUGAAAAGUGUUGUAUUCCAGUGUGCCUCGGAAAAGAAAAUAGGAUUAAUAAACUUUGAUUAGACUAAAUCAUUGA
This 501-nucleotide long non-coding RNA is filed under the name Homo sapiens (human). RNAcentral describes it as "HSALNT0027544". The record is from RNAcentral. Lineage: Eukaryota; Metazoa; Chordata; Mammalia; Primates; Hominidae.